Molecule: non-coding RNA, 1657 nt
Organism: Picea glauca (white spruce)
Lineage: Eukaryota; Viridiplantae; Streptophyta; Pinopsida; Pinales; Pinaceae
Source: Rfam
CAUACAAUUUUUAAGCAUAUAACUAAGUGAAGGAAAAAAAAUUACAAGGAUUCCCUUAGUAAUGAUGAGAAAAUUGGGAAUAUCCCAACAUUAAAAUUGGGUGGAAAAAUUGCUUGAAUUAUAGUAUGUAGAAGUAUCCUUAGUUGUUAUUUGGGUUGAAUUCCUUUGGAAGGGGGAAAUUGAGAGGGUUAUAGACACAUUGGGCUUGGACUUUGUUGCACCAUGAUGAGUUGUUGGAAAGUAAGAUUGUUUGGGAAUACAUUUGUAAUUGGGUGGUAAAUUCCAUUUAAGGCUAUAUAUGAGUGAGAGAUUGAUAAUGAAUUAGUAACAUGAAGGAAAUACAUAAAGGAUUUUGAAAAGAUAGUUAAAUAGGAAUUCAAUGAUGCAUCCUAGUUGGAUGAAGAAUGAAUUAAGUUGGUUCAUGAUUAGACUUGUGGUGCAAACCAAUGUAGGUUAUCACAUUGUGGCAAGUGCAAGUGGACUACCACCCCUUGUUUUUCUAUCACAAUGGUCAAUGAAUGAAGCUUGUGCCCAUGUUGCAGAUCAUAAUUAUUGCAUGCUUGUGGUGUUGGUUUGUAGGAUUUUCAUUCAACGAGUCUUGAAACACUGACCAAUGAGGCUGACCUAUGUGCAAGUCAAUGGAUUUGAGAACCCAUGAAGUGUAUGGAUGGUGUUUGACAAGAUCCCUCAUUGUAGGGUGCACUACCAACUGAACUUGAUAUUGUGCGAAGGGUUCGAGUGCGAUCACACCUAUUGGGACCCAAAAUGUUGGGAACUUUGCCUAAGAAGGGUUGAGCCAAAGGAAACUCUGUUGGAGACCCAUAACAUACUGAUGUGGAUUUUUUUUUAUUUUACUUGAAUAUAGGGGAAAAUAAUAUUUCUCCAAAAAUUCCUUUAGGAUAGAUGAUCUCAUGUGUGAGUUUUAUUUGGUGAAGUAGAUGAUUAGAGGCCCUGGGGGUAUAACACCCUCAACCUAUUCUCAAAAUUUCAAUAGGUAAGAUGGUAUGAUUUCCCCAUUGAACCAUGCCACAUAAUUAAUAGUUCCAAGUGGGCCAUUUUUGGUAAGUAGAACUAGCAAUGUGGGAUGAACCAAAUUUUCUAGUUACAAUGAAAAAUUAUGAACUAGCCUUUAUCCUAGAAAGGGUGUUGGUUGAUUAAGAUAACAAGACAUCACCAUGAAAGUCACAAUCUAUUAAGGAGCAUGUAAUGACUUACCCAUUGAAUCAACUAUCCCUAAAAAUAGAUGGUGUUGAAUUUAGCAACCUAUAUUUGACCUUUAGAGAAAUUGCUAGGCUUCAAUGAGUAGGAGGAUGUGGAGGUUAUUGAGAAACCUUUAACAUGAAAUUGGAUAGAUUGGGCCUUGAUGAAAAUCUUAGAAGUAGUAGAAAAUAUUCAAAUGAGAACUUUAAAUAUGAAGUGUGUAAAGGUUCCACGUGAACAACACUUAUGCAUGAUUUAGUCAACCCUAAACGAUAAAUAAGCCAUAUAUGAAGGGUGCACUCUAUGUGAACAUUGAAAGGGAAUUAGGUUAAUCUUCCCAAAUUGGGACUUGGUGGUAGAAAACAAUGUUUGGAAAUUUAGAUAUGUCAUCAUUAGUUAAUUUAUGUUGACCUUGGUUGCACAAUGGUUAACUAUAAUUGACUAUAGUUUUCUAUAA